GGCGGUUUCAGUCCCUGCCGCCGAACUCCGGAAGACGCCGUCGCCGCCGAACUCCAUGACUCAUGGCUGCCACACAUCUUCCUCCACGCACGGCCGCACCCCUGCAAAUCACAACCAGCGCCAUGAUGGCCAUGGCCUUCCCACGCAUCGGCGCUCCCCUGCAGAUCUUGCUCCAUCGAUGGCCUGUACAUCGGCCAAGGUCGAGGGCGCUGCACCAUCCUUCUAGCGUGUGGACGGUCGCCGGUGGUAGGUCGACAAGGAGGAGGAGCCCAUCAGCACGCCAUGUCUCCCAGCCACUCCUGAGAUGGGCGAUCCAAAGGGAUCAAAAGGAGGAAGAGGAGACCCCUUGUAGCGCAGAUGUCCAACGUCCAUGCUCUUCUUCAUCCACCUGCCUCUCUUAUCUCCUCUGGCUGGAGGUCGAUGGCGGAUCAAUGCCUUUGCUCUGCCCUGCCCCGAUCUGCAAGGAAGGAAGGCGGCAGCAGGGAUUGGAGAGAGGAGACGAGAGGACGGAUGCUGAUCGGGGAUAGACGAGGUGGUCUCGGUCCAGAGUAAGACGAGAAUGACAACUGGAAGGCAAGACGACGUUGGAUGGAAGGGAGAUGGAGCGAGACAGAAGGGGCAUGAGGAGAGGCCGCCGUGGAUAUUUUUGUAGCCACUCGCAUGUGUGCUUGCUUGCUGAUUUUCGCAUGUGGGCGUGGUGUGCCCUUGCCGCUGUGCGUGGUGUGCUGUUGAACGUGUGUGUUGUGUGCUUGCUCUCGCGCUAUCUGAAGCCGCCUGAACUUAGAAGACGACAGAGGCGUCAGCAGCUGCAGGUGGCCCAGAGGUGGGGGAGUGGCAGUGUGGCACUGCCUGCAGUCGGUGGCCUUCUUGACAGCGCUGCGGGCGACGCUCCCCCCAACCAGCCCCAUGGUGUGUCUGCAGGGGACGGAAAUCGCGCGUCCACGAGGCCAGCACAAGAUCAGACUGAUCAGCUAUGGUUGUGGUUCCUAGUUGCCCGAAGGUGAAAAUACCAUGCUGCUCGGUACUUGUCCUCCCAUGUAUGAACCGUUGCAGAUGCAGGUGAUGUGAACAUAUUUGUAUGCGUGUAUGUAGCCAUGAUGCAAAAUUCAGUUUACGUGAUGUGUGUCUUCAAAGAAUUUGGCAGUUUUGGCACUAGGAUUUUUUGGCUAAAUGCAUCGCCUCAACCAUAAGUAGAACACAAACAAUUGUGAGACAUAUCUGAUUGAUACAUACGUGGACCUUUAGACAAUAUAGAACUGAAUAGUUUUCAUCAUACCAAUUAGCUACCUAUUUUUUACAUUUAAAUUCUUUGUGAACUACUGUAAUUGUUAGAUACAUAUGAGUUUGAAUAAUUAUUAGUAGCACGUACAUGUCUAUCAUUGCUGAUAAUGCUAGGUACGUCCAUAGUUUAAUGAAAGAUUUACAGUUUCGGUAUUGUCCUAAAUUAUUUGUUGUUAUAUCCAUGGUUUAAUGAAAGCUUUACAGUUUAUCUGGACGUCAAACAUUCCAAGCUUCCUUUUUGACAGCCGACAGGUGAACUAAGAAAGGAAGGCUUGCUCGAAAAGUUUUACUGUCUUUCUGGCAACUUCUCAAACAAGUCAACAUUAUCACUCACCCUGUAGAUGGCCGGAGAAUGCGCAGAGCGCCAACGACAACCUCAAACAAAUGCAGCAGAGCAAGGUGAUGAAUUCUCCCAUGUUUCCUAAUCCGAAUUUUUGCUCGAAUCUCUUGAUUGUUUGAUCCAGUUUGUUUUUACAGUACAAUGAUUCCUAAUCUGAAUCUUUGCUCGAAUCGUUCGAUCGAUCCGUUUGUUGUUAUCGUGGUGCCGGUCCCUGGCCCCGACGUACUAAUCCUCGUCGCUGAUGCCUCUGACCCAGUCUUCCUCAUCGAUGCGACUGAGUUUGAGAUAAUGCAUAAGCAUGCAGCUUCGCUUCUCAAGCAGAAGCAGACGCUGCUCCUUGACACUCUCCCCAUCUAGAUGUGUGUUGACAUUUAUCUUACCUUGUUUCGAACAUAAAUUGAUUGUUUAUCAAGUAGGAAAAUUUGGUUUCCUCUGCAUGGUGUGAUAUUGCUCCCUUUUCUAGGUCUAAUUUAUGAAGAAACAAGUACAGAUGCUCUUCUAAUCUAAAAAAGUAAAAAGAAAGAAACAAGUAGUAUAGAGCUGCUGACAGACACUGACGUAAGAAAGAAUUUUUCGUGCUUUGGGUACGUACUUUCUUUUAACCUUCUGGCACUGCUGUUUUAUUAAUUUUUCCAGAUGUUGCAGUCUGUCAAAUAGAUCCAUAUCAGGUGGAAACCUAAAUUAAGUUCAUGCAAGGUGGAAACUAUCUAGAAAUAUUUUCAUAAAUUGCGAAGAAUCCUACUGAUAUUGUUGAUGGGGCAUUUCAAGAUAAAACAGAAGAUCUUCUCGGGUACAACUAGACUGCUUGCAGGAAAAACAAGUAAUCUACUUGAAUGGCUCUGCAAUUACACCGAGGAUGGAAAACUUAUCCACUCUGCAGGUGUACUAUUGGCUUCUCAAGAGUAGAUCCAUGAAGGCUGUUCCUCCAAUAUAAAUGGUUGUAGAGAAGAUAGGUUUGACAUUAUCCAUAGACACAUAUUGAGGCUUUCUUUUUUCUUGAGAUGCAGCAAAGGGUUCAAAUGGAAUGACAAAGAAACUUAUAGAGGAAAGGAAAGCACAUACUGAUUGUGUAGGGCUUUUUGUUGAUGUAAUUUUCCAUGCCGGUGAACCACUUUCUGCAUAUAUUCAGGCGGAUUCAGAGGUAAGCGUUUUUUAUA
This is a long non-coding RNA of Triticum dicoccoides, 2778 nucleotides long. RefSeq lists it as uncharacterized. Lineage: Eukaryota; Viridiplantae; Streptophyta; Magnoliopsida; Poales; Poaceae. The record is from RefSeq and is a predicted model, not a curated record. The transcript has 2 exons.